AAGAAAAGAAAAGAAGGUUUCAAAGCAAACUCUUUUCAAAGAAUCUUAAAUAUUGGAAAUGCUUCCAGUCACAGCUCUUUUACCAAUACUGAGAACCAAAACUAAGUAAACAAAGUCUGAGAAGUUUUCCUCAAGUUUAAAACUAGGAAAAUUACUUGGGAAAACAAAAAUUAAAGCUUCAGUCAUCUCUCAAAUCCUUUCCCUUAUACUUGAGGGAAAUGCUCCGAGCUCUCUGGCAACCAAUCUUUCGGAAAAAGGUAUGAGCGCAGAAAGAAACAGCACACCUUGGAACUGUGUCAGAAAAUCUCUUCGCAUUGCAAUGACCUUCUCAUUCAGUGGGGAUUCUCAUGCUGACUAAAUCACAGCAAUGACUGUUAGCGGCAUUAUGACAUGUUUACAGAUUGCAAUCAGGAAUCAGAACUAGUCCAUGCUGCUCUGCUUCGCACAGAACAGAAGAAUUUCCAGUUCCAAAGCCCUUAACAACCAAAAAGAUACACUGAACUUCACAGUUGGCUCCUCACCACCUUGUGUCAACAGAGCUGGCUGGCAGCAGUGAAAACAAGCUUCUUCAAGGACUUAGAAAGACAGACAGGAUGAAGGAGAAUAGGAAAGGGCAGUCAGCAGUGCUUGCCUGAAAUGCACACAGCAGAUCUAUGAUGCAUCUUAUCAUAAUGCUCUGUGGCAAUCAUUUUCCAUCAGCUUUUUAUUCCAUAACCAACGACACUGGAUAAAGAUCACUAUUCUGUCAUACUCCACCCCAGCCCUCAUCAGUGGAUAUGUUUAAUAAUGCAGAAAAAACCUUUGGAAGGAUUAUUUUUAUUGAGUCAAUUGAAUGCGAACAUGUGAUGUUAGGAUGCAGAUAACUUCAAGGCAGCAACAUUUUUUUAACAAGUUUGGACAAAAGAGAAAAAAUAAGAUGAAAUGUAAGUAUGCUUUGGGAAAGAAACACAUUUUCCAUUUAUUUUCUUUAUCUGAUGUAAUUGUGAGGACAUUCCCUUCUGUAUCGUUAACACCUCGUAUUGACAGUGUUGACAACUCCAGAAAAUAGCCUGCUUACUCACCAAGCAUUCACCAGGAGAGGCAAUGAUAUAAGCCCUCCACAAAACACAGAAUAACACUCCCUGUAACUCUCAGCUCACUCUCUUACCCAGAGCCUUACGUAAAUGACAGGUUUUGCUGUUUUCCUGAGCUGUUAACAAAUGUGGACAUCAGCUGACCAAAAGGGAUCAAAGGCAAAUCUGCUCUCUCACAGACUGUGCCCCUCUUCCCUGACCCCCUACCCAUUAGUGGACAAAAGCCAGCUCACCCUCCGUAUUGAGCAGACAACACUAUCCCCCCUGAUAAUCAUUUGACGCUUUCAGAGUUGUUUCUCACUUUGCAGAACUUUUCACUGAUGCCUGUGUAGGAGUGACAGACCCAAAAUACAUGAGGAUCAGAGAUCAUUUCCAAAUCUUCCACAAGGGGCUUAGAGGGAUUCUUAUCUCCAAUUAGGAAACUAGCUGCCAUAGGAUGAUUAUGCUCUGCUGUGAUUUACACUGAAGUCAAUUGGCGUUUAGGUAUUAAAAUAGCUGAAGCAGGAUUAGUCACUACACAUAGGAAGCGAAAUAAAGCAGAGUAAACUGGAGUA
This is a long non-coding RNA of Numida meleagris (helmeted guineafowl), 1627 nucleotides long. RefSeq lists it as uncharacterized. Lineage: Eukaryota; Metazoa; Chordata; Aves; Galliformes; Numididae. The transcript has 4 exons. The record is from RefSeq and is a predicted model, not a curated record.